This 435-nucleotide ribosomal RNA is filed under the name uncultured bacterium. RNAcentral describes it as "partial 16S ribosomal RNA". It matches the Rfam family "Bacterial small subunit ribosomal RNA", at positions 29 to 507 of the family's 1533-position model. The record is from RNAcentral.
AGCGAACGCUGGCGGCAGGCUUAACACAUGCAAGUCGAACGCAUCACUUCGGUGGUGAGUGGCAGACGGGUGAGUAACACGUGGGAACGUACCCUUCGAUCUGGGAUAACUUCGGGAAACUGGAGCUAAUACCGGAUACGCCCUUUUGGGGAAAGGUUUACUGUCGAAGGAUCGGCCCGCGUCUGAUUAGCUAGUUGGUGGGGUAACGGCCUACCAAGGCGACGAUCAGUAGCUGGUCUGAGAGGAUGAUCAGCCACACUGGGACUGAGACACGGCCCAGACUCCUACGGGAAGCAGCAGUGGGGAAUAUUGGACAAUGGGCGCAAGCCUGAUCCAGCCAUGCCGCGUGAGUGAUGAAGGCCUUAGGGUUGUAAAGCUCUUUUGUCCGGGACGAUAAUGACGGUACCGGAAGAAUAAGCCCCGGCUAACUUCGUG